Misgurnus anguillicaudatus (oriental weatherfish) is the source of this 2227-nucleotide non-coding RNA. Lineage: Eukaryota; Metazoa; Chordata; Actinopteri; Cypriniformes; Cobitidae. The record is from RefSeq and is a predicted model, not a curated record.
UGCUCAGAUAACUUAAAUAAACAAGGCUUGAUGACGUAUACAGCCUGCAUAUGCGACCUCCGCAGGCUGCAACCUUCGGAUUGAGAAACGGCCUAUGUAUGUUGUUGCUGAAACGAAACCAUCCCGUUAGCACACUUGUAAUUCCGGUCCGGAGCCAGGAUCAUUUUGAAAAACAAACACCUGGUUGGGUUAUUUUGACCCAGCAAUUGGUUUAUUAAUUGCCGCACUUUCUGGAUUCUUCGCUUCUGACUGGAUCACGCUACUCGGACCAGGCGGUAUUUCAUGAGUUCAGUAGAAUCCACUGAAUUGACCCCAACAGAUCAUAUCACCAUGACAGUGGAACUUUUUUCAGCCUUUGCAGUUUGUCAGAUUUUGGAAAGCACCCCUGAGAGGAAAUCCGUAUUAAACCGUUAAAGUGCAAGCAAUUACCAACAAGCAGAGGAGGCUACUUGUGAGACUCCUUGCAUCCCAUCUGCUGGAAACCAAUGGUGAAACCUGAGCCAUCAUCAGACACUAAGAAGGCAUGUGACAAGGCAUUGGUGUAUGAAUUUCCUUGCCUGAAGGAUAUACAGCUGCUAAAGGGGAAACAGCACUGAAGAUGCCAACUCUGCUAGCUCCAUCCAUUUACAGGGGAGGAGGAGAAGUCUUCAGACAUACCACUGUGGAGGCCCAGAGGUCCUUUAUUGACAUGCAACCUGUGGGGACCAACAUGGUGGAAUAUCUGCAAAAUCAGAGAUGUUGCACGUUUUGUGACUUGGGGACGAGCCAAGAAGGACCUGCCAGACCUUUGCCAUUGUUGGAGGCAAUGCCUCUGAGACAAACUCUUUGGUGAAGGAUGUUGAUAAGUUUUUUUUUGUCUUUGAUGUUAACUACACAAAGCAAUAGGUGUGUUCGACUUCAUGCAGCGCUGCGCAGACCGAUCGGCAGGUGACUUGAAGCAGUGCAUUUUGGUUAGUACUUUUGUCCGACUUCAGCUGGCGCUGCAGGCACGUCACUGUGUCAUAUGGUUUUUAAGUACCGCGAGAGCGUUUCGAGAGUAGCCAGCUGGCUCAGCCGGUGCAGCUUCUCCAGAGCGGCUGCCCGGAGUUGUGAUGACGUAACAGCUUUACUUGAUUGGUCGCUUCAUUGAUGACAACGAUCACAUGCGUUUCAAGUUUAAUCCAACCUUUAGUUUCACUAAUAAACAUUAUAAAUUCCUGUUUUAAAACAGGAAAAAAAACACUUUAAUAUCCUAAAAUAUGUUAUAUUGUGUCGUGUAAUAAAAUAAAAAUGAAAAUAACAAACUCUAUUGGUAUUUUAAUAAUAUAGGCUUGUUUCCCGUUAUUUUCGGGUAUACAGUUUAAGCAGCAAUUAAAAUAUUCGAUAUAAAAUGUUUCUGGUUGCAACUUUUUAUCAAAAGGUUUGUUUUUAUCAAAUUCAGCAUCUAAUUCACUUAAUUUGCGAUUAUAAACAAGGAAACACGGCGCACACGUCACUACGGCAAGCAGCAGGUGUCCGGCUUGACGGCUCCGUCUUCAGUUCCUCCCUCGACUGCAAGCGACAAACCUCGUCGAUCGGUCUGCGCAGCGCCGGAUGAUCUCGAACACACCUAUUGUCUUCCCACCUGGGAGUUUCACCAGGAUGCCAUUUAUCAGAUUGAUGGACAUGAGUCCUCCUCUGUUAACAUUUUGAGGACAACAUUUAAUCACUAAUAAUUAACUAUUUCAGUGCUAUGUUUGAAAGAUUCGCCCACAAUGCAAUGCCAACAGAAGUUUACUUACAGGCUGUGAGGUCAAGUGGGAGGAAUUAUGAUAAUUUCGGUCUUGUCUACGUCACCAAUCCCAGGAAGUAAACUGUUGCCUACAAUCUGUGUUUGUUGUAGUCCAAGAAAAGAGAUCACUCGCAUUAUCGUUUACUUUGGGGUUUGUACCUUUUGCAUAUCGUUAACAUGAAUUAAUACACAAUUACACACCAAAGGAAAUGUAAAAAUGUGAAUCGGACCAUAGCUGCUCUUUAAAAAAAUUUUUGUUUCAGGGCUUCUUGUUUUUAAUAACAUUUUGAUGAAUGAAAAUGUAAAGUAAAUGAAAUGCUAAUCAUCAUAGUUUAAAUAUUAAGAGUUAUAAAGUCCGUGGGGAUUGUUUGAUGUCAUAAUGGGGUUGUAACUUUUGUAUUAUACAAAUAUACAAAAAUGUAAUUAAAACAUUGUAUUAAAUGUAAAAAAAAAAUUAAAGGCAAUUUAAAUCACAUU